Molecule: long non-coding RNA, 969 nt
Organism: Gossypium raimondii (Peruvian cotton)
Lineage: Eukaryota; Viridiplantae; Streptophyta; Magnoliopsida; Malvales; Malvaceae
Exons: 3
Source: RefSeq, a predicted model, not a curated record
AAGUUAGGGGCAAUUUGGUAAUCUAGUAAUUAAAAUGAAUUAAAAGGGAAAAAGAUGGCAAAAAUCAUCAUCUUCUUCAUUAGGACGAAAUCAGCAAGGGGGGAAGCCAUAGUUAGGGUUUUCAAGCUUCCAAGCUCCAUAAUCAAGAAGUACGAAACUCGAGGUUAGACAAAGGGAAGAAUAAAGUUGAAGACUAAGUUGGUGAAUUUGGCUAUAAUUGGUACCGAGCAUUGCAAAGCUACUUCAAGGAUCCUAAAGAAGUCGGAGAUCGUCCACACUAUCAACCACAACUGCUCGGUAUUUUAUGUCAAAACACGUUUGAGUUAUGGCAUGUAUAGUGAUUUAGUUAUUUUGUAUGUUUGUAAUGAUGAUUUUGCUAAUGAGUGAUGUGUAAGUAUUUGAUGAUGUAUGGUCAUUAAAAUGGUUAAGGAUGAAGGUGUUUGUUGUUAUGAAAGAUUAGGUGAUAAAUUAUGCAUGGAAAUCAUGAAAGGAUAAAAUUUUGCAAAGAAACAGAAUUCAGGCAGCACAGUGACGUGAAUUUGAAAAAUCACCUAGGAUGGUAUAAAAUGAAUUAGAGGGUGAAUGAUAUAUGGAAUUAAAUCUUGUUGAGUCUAUUUUCAUGGAAAAAUAACAGUGUAGGAAAAGGAAAUUUAUAUUUUAAGAUAUGUGAAUUUUAGUAAGAUAGGGUCAGAACUGUUUUUGGAGUCCCCUGUUCUGAGUUUAGAAAAUAAUUAAAAAUUGUACAAAAAUGGUUAUGAGUUGAAAUUUACAUGCUUAGAUUCCUUAAUGAGUCUAUUUUCUGUAGAAACAAGUGGGAAUAGCAUAUGAAAAUCCUAUAACGAGAAAAGUUAUUUUUAGUAACAAGAGGUCAGAAUAGUCGAAUGGUGAAACAGGGGAGAAUUUAACUAAUAAACUGUACUAAUUGGAUGAACCAAAAAUUCUAAAAAUUUUAUGGUAGGAAGAUAUAUG